This 77-nucleotide non-coding RNA is filed under the name Alexandrium minutum. The record is from RNAcentral. Lineage: Eukaryota; Dinophyceae; Gonyaulacales; Pyrocystaceae.
UUUUUUUUUUUUUUUUUUUUUUUUUCUUGAUGGCCUUUUACGCAACCGGGUAGUCUGUAUUGCAACUGGCGCGAAGG